Molecule: ribosomal RNA, 1384 nt
Filed under: uncultured bacterium
Lineage: Bacteria
Description: 16S ribosomal RNA
Rfam family: Bacterial small subunit ribosomal RNA
Source: RNAcentral
UUCGCCCUUAGAGUUUGAUCCUGGCUCAGAUUGAACGCUGGCGGCGUGCUUAACACAUGCAAGUCGAACGCGAAAGGGGGCUUCGGCUCCCGAGUAGAGUGGCGCACGGGUGAGUAACGCGUGGAUAAUCUGCCCUCUUGUUCGGGAUAACUGCUGGAAACGGUCGCUAAUACCGCAUAACAUACGGGAGGGACAUCCCUUUUGUAUCAAAGAUUUAUCGCUCGAAGAUGGGCUCGCGUCCGAUUAGGUAGUUGGUGAGGUAACGGCCCACCAAGCCGACGAUCGGUAGCCGGACUGAGAGGUUGAACGGCCACAUUGGGACUGAGACACGGCCCAGACUCCUACGGGAGGCAGCAGUGGGGGAUAUUGCACAAUGGGGGAAACCCUGAUGCAGCGACGCCGCGUGUAGGAAGACGGUCCUCUGGAUUGUAAACUACUGUCCCCAGGGACGAAGAUGACGGUACCUGGGGAGGAAGCUCCGGCUAACUACGUGCCAGCAGCCGCGGUAAUACGUAGGGAGCGAGCGUUGUCCGGAAUUACUGGGUGUAAAGGGAGCGUAGGCGGGGAUGCAAGUUGGGUGUUAAAUCUACCGGCUCAACUGGUAGUCGCACUCAAAACUGCAGCUCUUGAGUGAAGUAGAGGCAGGCGGAAUUCCUAGUGCAGCGGUGAAAUGCGUAGAUAUUAGGAGGAACACCAGUGGCGAAGGCGGCCUGCUGGGCUUUUACUGACGCUGAGGCUCGAAAGUGUGGGGAGCAAACAGGAUUAGAUACCCUGGUAGUCCACACCGUAAACGAUGAUUACUAGGUGUGGGGGGUCUGACCCCCUCCGUGCCGGAGCAAACGCAAUAAGUAAUCCACCUGGGGAGUACGGCCGCAAGGUUGAAACUCAAAGGAAUUGACGGGGGCCCGCACAAGCAGUGGAGUAUGUGGUUUAAUCCGAAGCAACGCGAAGAACCUUACCAAGUCUUGACAUCUGGAUGACAGGGACGUAACGGUCCCCUUACUUCGGUACAUCCAAGACAGGUGGUGCAUGGUUGUCGUCAGCUCGUGUCAUGAGAUGUUGGGUUAAGUCCCGCAACGAGCGCAACCCUUAUCUUCAGUAGCCAGCAGGUAAAGCCGGGCACUCUGGAGAGACUGCCGGGGAUAACCCGGAGGAAGGUGGGGAUGACGUCAAAUCAUCAUGCCCCUUAUGAUUUGGGCUACACACGUGCUACAAUGGCGUAAACAGAGGGAAGCGAGCCCGCGAGGGGGAGCAAAUCCCAAAAAUAACGUCCCAGUUCGGAUUGUAGUCUGCAACCCGACUACAUGAAGCUGGAAUCGCUAGUAAUCGCGGAUCAGAAUGCCGCGGUGAAUACGUUCCCGGGUCUUGCACUCACCGCCCGUCA